RNAcentral lists this ribosomal RNA (496 nucleotides) under uncultured bacterium. RNAcentral describes it as "partial 16S ribosomal RNA". It matches the Rfam family "Bacterial small subunit ribosomal RNA", at positions 29 to 507 of the family's 1533-position model. The record is from RNAcentral.
ACGAACGCUGGCGGCGUGCCUAAUACAUGCAAGUUGAGCACUGAAGGUUGGUACUUGUACCAACUGGAUGAGCAGCGAACGGGUGAGUAACGCGUGGGGAAUCUGCCUUUGAGCGGGGGACAACAUUUGGAAACGAAUGCUAAUACCGCAUAAAAACUUUAAACACAAGUUUUAAGUUUGAAAGAUGCAAUUGCAUCACUCAAAGAUGAUCCCGCGUUGUAUUAGCUAGUUGGUGAGGUAAAGGCUCACCAAGGCGAUGAUACAUAGCCGACCUGAGAGGGUGAUCGGCCACAUUGGGACUGAGACACGGCCCAAACUCCUACGGGAGGCAGCAGUAGGGAAUCUUCGGCAAUGGACGAAAGUCUGACCGAGCAACGCCGCGUGAGUGAAGAAGGUUUUCGGAUCGUAAAACUCUGUUGGUAGAGAAGAACGUUGGUGAGAGUGGAAAGCUCAUCAAGUGACGGUAACUACCCAGAAAGGGACGGCUAACUACGUG